CCUGGAUUGUGUUACCCAGAUGUUGGUGAUUGUUGGAAGGGGGUUGGGAAGGCUGCAGGGCAAGCUGAGUGAGAGACCAGAGGUCCCUUCCUACAGCUGAGUAGGGCAGUAGGGGGAGUGAGGGAGAGGAGCUCACUGGGGACUCUUAUUGGCACUGUGUCAUGCUGUAUGACCCACAUUCACUAGCUCCAGAGAAGGAACGGUGGAGUCUAUUCUGAUACCAAAGGGAAAUAGUAGCAUGCCGUGUAUGUGACUUCUUUAUUUCUCACAUUGUUAUGUUUUCCCUAUGCUCUUCUCUUCGACCACUAAGGCCCAUGUACAGUACGCAUACGUCUAGUAGAUUUGCUAGCAGCCCUCUAAAGAUACUGAGAAAGGAUUUGCUGUAAAUUAUAGAAGUCAUUUCGUACUCGUAUACCUGACAGGUUUCACUGUUUACCAUCUGUCAAACAGUAUUUGUGAUGAGCAUGUCUGUCUGAGGCGUUUAGGGGGGGGUGUACAGAGGAUGCGUGAGAUGCUCCCAUAAUACCACUGAGAUGAGGGAUGGCCAGUUAAAAGGGCUAUUAUAAAUAUUCUUGACAGCAGAGAGGAAUCACAGUCAUGAGACGUCCUGCGUGUGUCAGUGAUGGAUCCCGCUCGAUGGGGUUGCUAGGAGACCGCCUCCGUCCCAUUGCCCUCUCAUUGUGCUGCGAGGUUGAGAGGGGAGCUAAUCAGAGGUAAAAGCCUUCCCUCUCUCUUCUCCCCCCUGCCUCCCCCACCCGUCCCCAUCCACCCACCCAUCCUGUCCAAAUCAAUGGAGAAGUCACCAUCAGCAGGCCUAGAAGGUAUCUGGACACACUCAGAAAAAUGCUCACUCAUUGUCUGAGACACAGUCCAUGCCUUACUCGCUCUCUCUUUAUCUGGGAUAGCUAGUAUCUUUGUGCCUGUAUGGAGUAGACUAUCUCUGCGAGUCCCAGACCUUAGUGGCCUAUGUGGCUGUUUGUUUUCCUAGUAUGUCUAUCUCUUAGUGUGGAUUUAUUUUACAACUGUUUCUCGGUGUGUCUGAAGACGUCUCCCCAAUAAGACACUGUAGUCCCCAACGAUGCCUGAACUAGCUCAAGCAGAUGCAACAGAAAUGUGGGAAAUUUCACAAAGGAUAUGCCUGCUUGAAGUAAACUAGAGCCUUUAUAAGAGCACUCUGGGAUUGAGUCCAAGACUGCUUUGUUUUGUUGAACUUUUUUUUUUUUCCUCAUGAGAAUUGUUUUGGAACACUAAAAGCAAUGCAAAAUACAGUUAUGAAAAAUACAGUUAUGAAAAAUACAGUAUUGAAAAAUACAGUUAUGAAAUAUUAUGUCAGGGAAUGAUUGAGGUAUCAACACUCUGUGUGUAUGUGUUUUGUGUGAGUAUGUAUAUUUUCGAGUGCUAUUGCUCUGUAGUCUCCUUAUAGCCUUAUAGUAUAACUACUUCCUCUCGCUCUCUCUGUUGAACACCACUCUACUUUUUUGCGCUGGUCUGGUCUUCUCUGAAGCCCAUCUAGGCCCAGCCUUGGCCCCAGGGGGACUGUAACAAUGGGCUCUCCCACAAAGUGCAGCAUUGUCCUCUAUGCUGUCAUUGCUCCAGCCCAGAAGGAAGGCAGGCUGAGCCCUAGGCCAGGAUCGGGAAGCUUCCUUCCUCCCACAAUCCCACUCUGUCCCAACCCCACAGCUCUGUCAUGGUCAGGGAGGGAGCAGAGCAGCCAAGGCAGUCUGAUGUUUUAUAUCCAAGAUAGAGAGGAACACAGCAGACUGUUCAUUCUAUAUAUUCCGUUAGUUGUUGUUUGUGGCCAGGCAUCCUGCACAGUUGCUUCAUAUCAUGUCUCACAGUUAACCACUAGCUUGACAAAAUUGUUUUGUUAUUCAAUGCAAACAACAACCACACAGGAUGCCAAACUGAUCUUGGUAGAGAGAAAGAGAGAUAUGUUAGAAAGAUGACAUGGAAGACAUGUCAAGAGAAAGGGGUUCGGUUUGAUCCUCGCUUUCGAUUUCUCAAUCCUCUGUUUGAUGUUUGUCAGACCCAGAGGUUGGUGGGAAGAUGAUCGAUGCGCUUCGAUUGAGUCUCGAUGCCUCAGCUCCAGACACACUCAGUGGGUGUGCAUCCCUAUCCCAGAGCGCAUCUCACCUUACUCACUCAGCAGAGCGUGAUCAACUGAAACCACAUGCUAUUAACUCUCAACUGACUUACGGUAGACUGCUCCUCCCAGAUCCUUGGAAAACCAGGCAACUAAAAGCCUACCAGGCUAUGGCAGCGCAGCAUUACAUCUUACAAAUGUUUUAAAAACUUCACAGAAAUGUUGUGUGAAAGUUACUACCCGGGUAAUGCUUCAGUGAGUUCGUUUUUUUUUAAAACCUCACCACGCCUAUUAACAUCGAUGGGAUGAAAAUAAAAAGUUCAUUUGUCUGUAUGAUUAUCAUGAUUAUUUGUAAUAUUAAUUUAGAAUUUUUCUUUGAACGCCGUAUGAUUCUUUUUGUACUUUUAAUAACAUUCCGUAUGUGUUUUUAUUUUAUUUUGCUGUAGAAAGUGAAGAUUUUAUACAUUUGUGUUGUGUGUUCACCUCUUGUUGAGUGUGUUGACUAUCCAUGCUGGACAUGUACACAAUAAAAUGCUCUAAAAAC
RNAcentral lists this long non-coding RNA (2627 nucleotides) under Salmo salar (Atlantic salmon). Its description in RNAcentral is "lncRNA (ENSSSAG00000096022.1)". Lineage: Eukaryota; Metazoa; Chordata; Actinopteri; Salmoniformes; Salmonidae. The record is from RNAcentral.